This 642-nucleotide long non-coding RNA is filed under the name Homo sapiens (human). RNAcentral describes it as "HSALNT0145484". The record is from RNAcentral. Lineage: Eukaryota; Metazoa; Chordata; Mammalia; Primates; Hominidae.
GGGCCAGGGGGUGGAGGGUCCACAGCAAAGACCCCCACUGCCAGAGAGAAGGCCAGGGCUGAACACAGGAGGGCUUGGGCCUAUCCUGCAGGUGAAGGGCACUCAGGCAGGGGCCACAGCUGGGUUUGUGUUUAGGAAGAUGAGUCUGGCAAUAGACGGUGCAGGGGAAGUCAUGGGGCUGUGAACAGGUGAAGUGGGCCACAAGGAAGCCAUUGAGACAUGCCAGAGAGGAGCUGGGAGCACAGACGCCUCCAGAAGCAUCGGGAGGUGCCAAUUAAGCCAGGCUGGGCACAGCCGAAGGCCAGUGGGAUGUGUCUGACAACUGAGAGGUCUGCUAUCUGCUGUGUCCCAGCCAGGGAGUGAAAUGAGUCCGAGUACGUGGUGAUGUGGCCAGGCAGAUGAAUCGGCACGGGGUGCUCACAUGGAGUCAUGAGGCUGAACGCACCUGUAGCAAUUGUGAGGCCACCACACUGAUUCUUCAGGUAGAAAGAAGACCAGUCGCUGACAUCUGGGAGCUGAUCUGGUCCUAUCUUGUAGGCCUCAGUGUUGCUAGGAGCUGUCCUGGCACUCACAGAUAGAGUCCCGCUUCCCUAAACCCUCCCCCAGAUUACUCAAGCCAAAUCCUGUAAGAAGUCCUUUCCA